UAGUCGUGGAAUAGGGAAGUGGUGUAGCUGUUGCUGCUCUAUAUUUGGCUGUAGGGCUGGUUCUAGUUCAGCUAUAUGUUUAGGUAAUGGCUGGGGUGGUGUAGGUGGUACGUUUGGUGAGGUGGAAUUAAUUAGUGGUGCAAUAUAGCAAGUAUGGGUUCAACCUAAACUAUUACAACCGUCUCUAACUAUCUGCGUGGCCCUCGAAACCAUGGCUCUGAUACCACCUGUGAAGACCCAUGUCAUUAUUAUUAUAGAUAAUGACACUAGUCCUUGGAUUAUUUCUUGACAAAAUAUUGUUUUGUCAAAUAAUAAUCCAUGUCAGAGAUAUGCAGCAGGGAAAUAGUUAUAGAUGGUCCUUUAUAUUACAAUACCAUGCCACGCAGGGCUAAAAGUCUCAAGUAGGCUUCUCACAUGUUCGCCAAAUUAUUACAUCUCCUAACACCGGAGUUCCAACUAGAAGUACCAGAUAGAUGAUGAUAAAAUAGUUCCUGGAUUACAUAGCUAGGUCAUAGUUACUUAUUCAUCCCAACCCCCAUAUGUGGCAUCCAGAUCGUACAUAGCACUAGAUGGAUCCACGUCUAGGUCCCCUGUGUAGUUGUAGCCAUCACCAUUGCUCUCCUCACUUGGUGCAGUAGGAUUCUCAUACAAGCUUUGCUCUAUGAAAAAGAUGAUUAAUAGCAAGAGUGAGUACUUUGUACUCAGCAAGCUCAAAAAGCAAAAUGCAACACUCAUGAUAGCUCAAUAUAAAUCAACAAGUCCUACCUCAACUCAACAUCUUUCAAAAUAAACAUUUGUUGCGGAAGUUCAUUUCAAUUUAUAAAAGCUAUCAAACACUCGUAUUGCGAGAUAGACCACUAAUAGGUCCUCGUAGUCUCCAAUCCAAGAGACUGGCAUGAAUUCAUGUUUUUCUUUAACUCUGCAGAGUUUGUAUCACUUUACCCAUAGAGCUCGAAACCAUAAUUGCCAUAUGCAUUUCCUUAGAUGCGAGACAUGGUUAGAACCUAAGCUUUUUCCCAUUGUGUAUAUUAUAUCUCCACCCAGCUAGUGUCACUAGCUGUUGUGUCGGGUUUCGGAACCCGCACUCCACCAACGCUUAAUAUAUAGCGCUUGCUAAUGCACCCAUCCGGCAUUAGCUUGGGACUCAUCGCUCAUCCUACUACUACUUACCCAUGUGGAGAGUAUAAUAACUUGAUGGUAUUGGGCUCAACCCGUCAUAGACGAGACCAUGGUUGAUAUGGUUGUACGACGCAUAAAACGAGUGAAAGUUAUUUAAUAUUAAUAUCAUAGCCAUAUGUAGAGGGCCCCACCUUCUAGUAUAUCCAUUCCGGGCACCCUCUACCCACCAAAUAAUUAUAAAAAAAUGGAUUAGCUGCUCCAUCAGCUAACCCAACUAUUUGCCAACACUCACUCCACACAACUUAUCUCAAAAACAUUUUAUGCAAGCCAAUGAUAAGAUACAACAACAACAACAACAACAAAGCCUUUAGUCCCAAACAAGUUGGGGUAGGCUAGAGGUGAAACCCAUAAGAUCUCGCAACCAACUCAUGGCUCUGGCACAUGGAUAGCAAGCUUCCACGCACCCCUGUCCAUAGCUAGCUCUUUGUCGAUACUCCAAUCCUUCAGGUCUCUCUUAACGGACUCCUCCCAUGUCAAAAUCGGUCGACCCCGCCCUCUCUUAACAUUCUCCGCACGCUUUAGCCGUCCGCUAUGCACUGGAGCUUCUGGAGGCCUGUGCUGAAUAUGCCCAAACCAUCUCAAACAAUGUUGGACAAGCUUCUCCUCAAUUGGUGCUACCCCAACUCUAUCUCGUAUAUCAUCAUUCCGGACUCGAUCCUUCCUCGUGUGGCCACACAUCCAUCUCAACAUACGCAUCUCCGCCACACCUAACUGUUGAACAUGUCGCCUUUUAGUCGGCCAACACUCCGCGCCAUACAACAUUGCGGGUCGAACCGCCGUCCUGUAGAACUUGCCUUUUAGCUUUUGUGGCACUCUCUUGUCACAGAGAAUGCCAGAAGCUUGGCGCCACUUCAUCCAUCCGGCUUUGAUUCGAUGGUUCACAUCUUCAUCAAUACCCCCAUCCUCCUGCAACAUUGACCCCAAAUACCGAAAGGUGUCCUUCUGAGGUACCACCUGGCCAUCAAGGCUAACCUCCUCCUCCUCACAGCUAGUAGUACUGAAACCGCACAUCAUGUACUCGGUUUUAGUUCUACUAAGCCUAAACCCUUUCGAUUCCAAUGUUUGUCUCCAUAACUCUAACUUCCUAUUUACCCCCGUCCGACUAUCGUCAACUAGCACCACAUCAUCCGCAAAGAGCAUACACCAUGGGAUAUCUCCUUGUAUACCCCUUGUGACCUCAUCCAUCACCAAUGCAAAAAGAUAAGGGCUCAAAGCUGACCCCUGAUGCAGUCCUAUCUUAAUCGGGAAGUCAUCGGUGUCGACAUCACUUGUUCGAACACUUGUCACAACAUUAUUGUACAUGUCCUUGAUGAGGGUAAUGUACUUUGCUGGGACUUUGUGUUUCUUUAAGGCCCACCACAUGACAUUCCGCGGUAUCUUAUCAUAGGCCUUCUCCAAGUCAAUAAACACCAUAUGCAAGUCCUUAUGCUCCCUAUAUCUCUCCAUAAGUUGUCGUACCAAGAAAAUGGCUUCCAUGGUCGACCUCCCAGGCAUGAAACCAAACUGAUUUUUGGUCACGCUUGUCAUUCUUCUUAAGCGGUGCUCAAUGACUCUCUCCCAUAGCUUCAUUGUAUGGCUCAUCAGCUUAAUUCCACGGUAGUUAGUACAACUCUGAACAUCCCCCUUGUUCUUGAAGAUUGGUACUAAUAUACUCCGUCUCCAUUCUUCUGGCACCUUGUUUGCCCGAAAAAUGAGGUUGAAAAGCUUGGUUAGCCAUACUAUCGCUAUGUCCCCGAGACCUUUCCACACCUCAAUGGGGAUACAAUCAGGGCCCAUCGCCUUGCCUCCUUUCAUCCUUUUUAAAGUCUCCUUCACCUCAGACUCCUGGAUGCGCCGCACAAAACGCAUGCUGGUCUCAUCAAAGGAGUCAUUCAGUUCAAUGGUAGAACUCUCAUUCUCCCCAUUGAACAGCUUGUCGAAGUACUCCCGCCAUCUAUGCUUAAUCUCUUCGUCCUUCACCAAGAGUUGGCCUGCUCCGUCCUUGAUGCAUUUGACUUGGCCAAUAUCCCUCGUCUUCCUCUCCCGGAUCUUAGCCAUCUUAUAGAUGUCCCUUUCACCUUCCUUCGUGCCUAACCGUUGGUAGAGGUCCUCAUAUGCCCGACCCCUUGCUUCACCAACAGCUCGCUUUGCGGCCUUCUUCGCCAUCUUGUACUUCUCUAUGUUGUCUGCACUCCUAUCCAGGUAUAGGCGUCUGAAGCAAUCUUUCUUCUCUUUAAGCGCCUUCUGGACAUCAUCAUUCCACCACCAGGUAUCCUUAUCUUCCCUUCUCCUUCCCCUGGACACUCCAAACUCCUCCGAGGCCACCUUACGAAUGCAAGUCGCCAUCUUCAUCCACACAUUGUCCGCAUCCCCUCCUUCCUCCCAAGGGCCCUCCUUAAAUACCCUCUCCUUGAACACCUGAGCUACCUCCCCCUUGAGCUUCCACCACUUCGUUCUAGCGACCUUGGCACGCUUAUUCCGCUGGACACGAAUCCAAAAGCGGAAGUCAACAACCACCAGCUUAUGCUGGGGUACAACACUCUUCCCAGGUAUCACCUUACAGUCUAGGCACGCACGCCUAUCUUCUCUUCUCGAGAGGAUGAAAUCAAUCUGGCUAGAGUGUUGGCCACUACUAAAAGUCACCAGAUGUGAUUCUCUCUUUCUAAAGAGGGUGUUAGCUACAAUCAUGUUGUAGGCUAGAGCAAAGCUUAAGACAUCUUCUCCUUCUUGAUUCCUGAUGCCAUAGCCAAAGCCCCCAUGCGCCCCUUCAAAACCUGUGUUAGAUGUACCCACGUGGCCAUUGAGGUCUCCUCCUAUGAAGAGCUUCUCACCAAUCGGUACACUCCUAACCAUGUCUUCCAAGCCUUCCCAGAACUCCCUCUUGGUGUUCUCAUUGUGGCCUACUUGCGGGGCAUAUGCGCUGAUAACAUUGAGAACCAAGUCCUCAGCUACCAGCUUGACCAGGAUAAUCCGGUCCCCACGUCUCCUGACGUCUACCAGUCCAUACUUGAGGCUCUUGUUGAUCAAGAUGCCUACGCCAUUUCUGUUUGCAGCCGUCCCCGUGUACCACAGCUUGAAGCCGGUAUCCUCCACCUCCUUCGCCUUCUGUCCUCUCCAUUUGGUUUCUUGGACGCAAAGGAUAUCAACACCUCUCCUCACUGCUGCAUCAACUAGCUCCCGAAGCUUCCCUGUCAGAGACCCUACGUUCCAGCUACCUAAGCAAAUCCUCCUAGGCUCGGCUAGCUUCCUUACCCUUCGCACUCGUCGAGUCAAAUGCGAAGACCCUUGCUCAUUUUCCACUACAUCCGGGCGCCGAUGUAGCGCGCCACUAAGGAUGCGACGACCUGAUCCUCGCUCACUUGCCACCGUAUCUGGAUCAAGAUACGGCGCGCCACUUGGGGGGUGACGGCCCGGCCCUUGCCCAUUUUCCACCACACCGGGUUCCGAUGUGGCGCGUCGCUGAGAGGGUUACGCCCCAACGAAAAUUUUUGGGUUUCAUCUCCAUAAGGGUGGCUGAGUUUUUACGUUGGCUCGCCAAGCCUAUCACAACCCUCCUCCUUUACCCGGGCUUGGGACCGGUUAUGUUGAGACAACAUAGGCGGAGUCAACGAUAAGAUACAUCAGAGAUUUUUUUUUGAAAAUAGUUCUAGUCAGCAUGAUCAAGAAGAGCUUGCGUGAGUUGUCGUACUCAGACCCGGACUCGAUUUGCUUUUGUAGCGCCUCCUUCUUUGGACUGUACUCGCUUCCUGCGGUUCGGCAAAUAUAUAUAUUUCGAGACUAAGUCGAGUGAAUACGAGGGAAAUAAAAAUAUACGUCGGUGAAGUGUGGUCAUCCUACAGUCAAACAUUAUUAUUUCUUUUAUUACCUAGUAUUCUUUUUACUAAGCUUGCAUUAGUAGGUGGAUUUAGAAUAGAUAAUUAUUAGAUGUGCACCUGAUAAUUACUAGACCACAAUUCUACACGUGCCCUCUCCCUUUCUCAAUUUCCAAGUCUCUCUCUCCUGUACUAGUCCUCCACCGAACACAACACACACCAGUACUAGUCCACCAAGAACAGAACACACGUACAUGUCUUCUCUCCCUCCUAUUCCUCUGCUCCUAAACUAGCCAGACCGGCCAUGCCGCCGGUGACGGGGAAACAUGCUGCUCCGCCGCUGCCGGACCUUCCACCCUCUCUCUCUCCCCUGAUCCAAAUCCCUAUUUUUUUUUUCAGGAUUCAGCCCCAAACUCUCUAAUCCCCUCUCAGAUUUGACUUGCAGGUGAGGCUCUUAUCGGGCUUUGAUUUCGCUGCUCCAGAUCGAAGCUCCCGGCGUUGGCGGCCGCGGUGCGCUGGGUGUUGCAGAUCAGAGUUCAAAGGCAUAGCCAUGGAGCAUAUCGAGCAUAAGUGCAGGUUAGUGAUGCGCUUGUUCCUCUCCCUAUUUUUUUAUGCUCAAGUACUCAGAUUUAGUAAAUUAAUCUAGUCUCAUGUGCAUGUGUGUGUACUGAACCAAUUUCUCUUGUGCAAGAUGUGGGUGUACUAAUGUUGUACAAUAUCUUGUCUCCUUUUAUUAUACUUGCUUAAGGCACUAUCCAUGCUUUCUUGUACUGUUGAUUUUAAGAUCUGUGAUAGUUGAUACUACUGGAAUGAUUUAGCUUUUGUGUGCAUCUGUGAAGAACUAGUGAGGAAUAUUGUGGGUGCAUCUGGGUUGGGCUUCUUUGUGAGUGUGAGUGCUAAAGGAAUGACAGAAGAACUCACCUUUCUUCUUUUGCCUUCUCUGCUGUUUCUUCUAGUGCUGCUCCUACUUCCAGAUCCCAGUCUAGUUGGCUAACUUCUUGUUCUAGCCUUCCUCCUUUGAUCUACUAUGAUUUCUCAGGUCACCAUCUCUACUUAUUGUUCUUGGAUCUUUGUUGGUUGCAGAUAGAAAGACUAAGACAGUGGGAGGAAGACAAGUUGCUGGUUUGGCUUUUUGGGGAAGAAUGGAGACGACGUGUGAAGUCUUGGCAAUGGCUUGCUCUGCUCUCUCUCCUUUUAAUAUCAGAAAACCCUCUUCCUUGGCUGGUAUGGCUGCCCAUCCCUUCUUUACCGUGUUGCCUUUGUGGAGCCUUUCUAUUGGCUAGGAGUUGCAGCCCAUGCCUAGACCAACUGUUGGUCAAUUGACUACUGAUAUACAUAUUAUGCACGUGAUGGUGGUGGUCAAAUGUGUAUCUCAAAUGUGUCUUGCUGUCCUGGUUGACUCAGAGAUAUUUUUUUGUUGGUCUAAGUUUGAUGUGGCAUUGUUGUAUAGCUUAGCAUAGUCUGGUCUCCCUAUAUUUUUUUUGUUUCCAAAGAUUUGUAAUAUAACUGUACAACUAUACUGUUUGAGAUGUGUGAAUAUAAAUAUAUAUUUGAGUGGUUAUGCUUGUUGAAGAAAUCUGAAAUGUAUUUUUUUAGGAUGCUUAAUAAAUUGUACUUAAUUAUCUAAUUAAGGGUGGAAUUACUAUGUGACAAAAAUACGAGUCGUUACUGAUGGAUAAGUCUGUGUACUAGGGUCCUUGUGGGGCUGCAGCACAUGGUCCUUGUGGCAGUUAGGAGGAUAAAGUCCUGGACCAUCAAGGACUGGCUGUUAGGAUAGAGUUCUGUUCUUGACCAUCAAGGACUGUCAGUU
Molecule: long non-coding RNA, 6780 nt
Filed under: Triticum aestivum (bread wheat)
Lineage: Eukaryota; Viridiplantae; Streptophyta; Magnoliopsida; Poales; Poaceae
Description: long non-coding RNA (TAES_LNC016252)
Source: RNAcentral